GAUCCUGGCUCAGGAUGAACGCUGGCGGCGUGCCUAACACAUGCAAGUCGAACGAGGUAAAUAAGAUGAAGUUUUCGGAUGGAUUCUUAUUUGUCGAGUGGCGGACGGGUGAGUAACGCGUGGGUAACCUGCCUCAUACAGGGGGAUAACGAUUGGAAACGAUUGCUAAUACCGCAUAAGCGCACAGUACCACAUGGUACAGUGUGAAAAACUCCGGUGGUAUGAGAUGGACCCGCGUCUGAUUAG
RNAcentral lists this ribosomal RNA (246 nucleotides) under uncultured bacterium. RNAcentral describes it as "partial 16S ribosomal RNA". It matches the Rfam family "Bacterial small subunit ribosomal RNA", at positions 15 to 244 of the family's 1533-position model. The record is from RNAcentral.